GCAGAGUAGGGACACGCGCGUAAAGUGCCUGACCAACGGGGAGUUGUGGCAGGACGAAAGGCCAAACGGCCUGCGGUGCGGGUCCCGCAUCCCACUGC
RNAcentral lists this non-coding RNA (98 nucleotides) under Subdoligranulum variabile. RNAcentral describes it as "THF riboswitch". It matches the Rfam family "THF (Tetrahydrofolate) riboswitch aptamer". From Rfam's summary of the family: THF riboswitch presents a pseudoknot that joins P1-P2 and the loop of P3 and two THF binding. The record is from RNAcentral. Lineage: Bacteria; Bacillati; Bacillota; Clostridia; Eubacteriales; Oscillospiraceae.